CCUUAUCAUUUAGAGGAAGGAGAAGUCKUAACARGGUUUCCGUAGGUGAACCUGCGGAAGGAUCAUU
This 67-nucleotide ribosomal RNA is filed under the name Poa serpaiana. RNAcentral describes it as "partial 18S ribosomal RNA". It matches the Rfam family "Eukaryotic small subunit ribosomal RNA". Lineage: Eukaryota; Viridiplantae; Streptophyta; Magnoliopsida; Poales; Poaceae. The record is from RNAcentral.